CGCGGGAUUGGGGAACGGGGGACGGGGCGCAGCAGGCGCGAAACCUUUACAAUGCACGAAAGUGUGAUAAGGGGACCCUGAGUGCUCAUGUUUACAUGGGCUUUUGUUAAGUGUAAAUAACUUGGCGAAUAAGUGGUGGGCAAUACCGGUGCCAGCCGCCGCGGUAACACCGGAGCCACGAGUGGGAGCCGCUAUUAUUGGGCCUAAAGCGUCCGUAGCCGGUUUGUCAAAUCUCUUGUGAAAUUGUCGGGCUCAACCUGACAACGUGCAUGAGACACUAACAAACUAGGGGCCGGGAGGAGUCAGAGGUAUUUCGGGGGGAGCGGUAAAAUGUUAUAAUCCUCGAAGGACCACCUAUGGCGAAGGCAUCUGACCAGAACGGAUCCGACGGUGAGGGACGAAAGCCAGGGGAGCAAACCGGAUUAGAUACCCGAGUAGUCCUGGCUGUAAACGCUGCGAGCUAGGUGUUGCGUAUUCUUCGUGGAUGCGCAGUAUCGGAGCGAAGGUGUUAAGCUCCCCGCCUGGGAAGUACGGUCGCAAGGCUGAAACUUAAAGGAAUUGGCGGGGGAGCACUACAAGGGGUGCGGCGUGCGGUUUAAUCUAACUCUACACAGAGAAUCUCACCAAGGGCGACGGCAGGAUGAAAGUCAGUCUAAAGGGCUUACUUGACGAGCCGAGAGGUGGUGCAUGGCGGCCGUCAGCUCGUGCCGUAAGGUGUCACUUUAAGUGGUGUAACGAGCGAGACCUGCGUCUACAAUUGCUAGCGAGUCCUUUUGGAUGAUCGAGCACAUUGUAGGGACUGCCUUCGAAAGGAGGAGGAAGGUGCAGGCUACGGUACGUCUGUAUGCCCCGAAUCUCUUGGGCUACACGCGCGCAACAAUGGUAGAGACAAUGGGCUGCAACUCCGAAAGGAGAAGCUAAUCCUCGAAACUCUAUCCUAGUCCAGAUUGAGGGUUGUAACUCACCCUCAUGACGCUGGAAUCCCUAGUAAUCGGGUAUCAACAGUACCCGGUGAAUACGUCCCUGCUCCUUGCACGAAUUCGCCGAAUCACUAGU
Molecule: ribosomal RNA, 1056 nt
Filed under: uncultured crenarchaeote
Lineage: Archaea; Thermoproteati; Thermoproteota
Description: bacterial SSU rRNA
Rfam family: Archaeal small subunit ribosomal RNA
Source: RNAcentral